Long non-coding RNA from Ochotona princeps (American pika), 422 nucleotides. RefSeq lists it as uncharacterized. The transcript is spliced from 3 exons. The record is from RefSeq and is a predicted model, not a curated record. Lineage: Eukaryota; Metazoa; Chordata; Mammalia; Lagomorpha; Ochotonidae.
CCGCGGGCUCCGACGGCGCGCCUCGCUCCGCCGGGUCGGCGAGGCGAGCAGCCGCCCCGCGCCCUCUGCCGGCCUCAGGCCCGCCCCGACCCCGGAGAGCCCGUGGAGCGUCCUGAGGCCCAGUAGACGGGGAAGGGAAGGAGGAAUGGGUGCUGGGCUUGUUCCUGCGUUUACGUGUUGGAUUACUUGGAGACACGUCCCGCGGGCCUCGUUUGAUCGUGCCCCUCAAGGGGCCCCUCACCUGUCUCCGUGUCUACCUCCUCUCCUUACUCCGUAGUGGAAGCGCUCCUUCCAGAAUCCUUCCUUGUCGCUGGAGAAACCUUAACAGUAGCUGUACAGUCCCUCUGGCCUCAUCGGAAAAACAGUCCUCCUAACAGUGGCUUGGCCUUAGAAUACGUGUGUCCUCCGGCUGGUUUGCAGAA